Drosophila teissieri is the source of this 491-nucleotide long non-coding RNA. RefSeq lists it as uncharacterized. Lineage: Eukaryota; Metazoa; Arthropoda; Insecta; Diptera; Drosophilidae. The record is from RefSeq and is a predicted model, not a curated record. The transcript has 3 exons.
CACAAAGCGAAACUUGUUUUGCAAAGUGCCAUUCAAAUACUCGCUGUAGUCUGAAUCUUGGCCCAUCUAAUGACUUCAUUUCUGUUGUUGUUUCACAAGGCAUCAAAUCCGAAGGCGACAAAAUGUUUACCACCGUCAUUUUUUGCCCCCCCUUUCGGCAGUCAGCAAGGUCGAAACCGUAAACGAGCCAUUCAGAGACUUGAGGCUUUAAUUAAUCGUUGUAUCGCCAACAACUCUGAUUAACCGAACCGAACCGAACCGAAAUACUAAAAUACUGCCCCCGAGGCAGCUCAAUCUCGUUAAUUGAUAUGCAAAAUCAAAUGGCCACUAAAUGGUGCGAACCAAAGAAUUACGCAGAAGUGCCGGGCCAGGUGAAGGUUUCGCGGGUUAUCCAAGGAAUCCAGGCCACAGUUCGUUGAACUCGCAGAGGGGAGUGUCACAAGUCAUUACGCACAAUAAAACAAAAGUUAAUUGAAUAGCCUAAAUCUGCA